CCUACGGGAGGCAGCAGUGAGGAAUAUUGGUCAAUGGACGAGAGCCUGAACCAGCCAAGUAGCGUGAAGGAUGACUGCCCUAUGGGUUGUAAACUUCUUUUAUAUGGGAAUAAAACGUUCCACGUGUGGGAGUUUGUAUGUACCAUAUGAAUAAGCAUCGGCUAACUCCGUGCCAGCAGCCGCGGUAAUACGGAGGAUCCGAGCGUUAUCCGGAUUUAUUGGGUUUAAAGGGAGCGUAGGUGGAUCGUUAAGUCAGUUGUGAAAGUUUGGGUCUCAACCGUAGAAUUGCAGUUGAAACUGGCAGUCUUGAGUACAGUAGAGGUAGGCGGAAUGCGUGGUGUAGCGGUGAAAUGCUUAGAUAUCACGAAGAACUCCGAUUGCGAAGGCAGUUCACUGGACUGCAACUGACACUGAGGCUCGAAAGUGUGGGUAUCAAACAGGAUUAGAUACCCGGGUAGUC
Molecule: ribosomal RNA, 460 nt
Filed under: uncultured bacterium
Lineage: Bacteria
Description: partial 16S ribosomal RNA
Rfam family: Bacterial small subunit ribosomal RNA
Source: RNAcentral